GGAGAGCUGUCUGAGUGGUUUAAGGAGACAGUUUGCUAAAUUGUUGAGGUAUAGUGAUAUAUCUCCAUGGGUUCGAAUCCCAUGCUCUCCUCCA
This 94-nucleotide transfer RNA is filed under the name Bacteroidia bacterium. RNAcentral's name for it is "tRNA-Ser". It matches the Rfam family "tRNA". Rfam says of the family: Transfer RNA (tRNA) molecules are approximately 80 nucleotides in length. Their secondary structure includes four short double-helical elements and three loops (D, anti-codon, and T loops). Further hydrogen bonds mediate the characteristic L-shaped molecular structure. tRNAs have two regions of fundamental functional importance: the anti-codon, which is responsible for specific mRNA codon recognition, and the 3' end, to which the tRNAs corresponding amino acid is attached (by aminoacyl-tRNA synthetases). tRNAs cope with the degeneracy of the genetic code in two manners: having more than one tRNA (with a specific anti-codon) for a particular amino acid; and 'wobble' base-pairing, i.e. permitting non-standard base-pairing at the 3rd anti-codon position. Lineage: Bacteria; Pseudomonadati; Bacteroidota; Bacteroidia. The record is from RNAcentral.